Molecule: long non-coding RNA, 37252 nt
Filed under: Eucalyptus grandis
Lineage: Eukaryota; Viridiplantae; Streptophyta; Magnoliopsida; Myrtales; Myrtaceae
Description: long non-coding RNA (EGRA_LNC003744)
Source: RNAcentral
GAUCAUGAUGGUAAUGUAAGGGUCUAUAGUAGAGAAAAAGAUGAAAAGUGGGUUGUAACAUGGCAAGGCUUAUCUGAGUCAUGUGCUGUUCAUGGGACUUGUGGACCGAAUAGCGUUUGCAGGUACAGCCCGAGGGAGGGGAGGAGUUGCUCUUGCCCUCCGGGAUAUGUGUGGAAUAAUGACACUGAUUGGACUCAGGGAUGUGCGCCCAAAUUCGAGAGCUUCUGCAACCCGGGUUCUGAUGCUCAUGUCGAUUUCCUGCGUUUGCCUCACCAUGAUUUCUAUGGAUAUGAUAAGGACUAUUUUCCAAACACUACCCUGGCGUCGUGCAAGAAAAUGUGCGCAGAUCUUUGCAAUUGUAAAGGCUUUCAAUACAAAUUCAACGGGGAAAAAGGGAGCUUCGACUGUUUCCCCAAGAUACAGCUGUUAAAUGGAUAUAUUUCCUUCUCAUUUAUUGGGAGCACUUAUUUGAAACUACCAAAAGCUAAUCUCUCUUCUUAUCAAAUACCCAGCAAAGGAUUCGACCCACUGCCCUGUCCCCCAAAAGCUCAAGAAGUUGUCACUUAUCUGAAAGGCCACCAGAAUUCGACACUUGAGAUCUUGCUCAUUUUUUGCAACAGCGCUGGCUGGAGUGGAAAUUGUUGUAGUCUUCCUCACAUGGUCCUUUUUGGUCAGGACUAAUCCUGACAAACGGGGAGGUUAUGCAAAGGGAUAUCGUCUUGCGGGGACAGGAUUUACAAGGUUCACAUAUGCCGAGCUAAAGAAAGCGACCAGGAACUUUAACAAAGAGAUUGGAAGAGGAAGUGGGGGGAUUGUGUACAAGGGUGUCCUGCCAGAUCAUGGGGAAGCAGCGGUCAAGCUGCUAAACGAGGAAAAUCAAGGAGAAGAUGAGUUCCUGGCUGAAGUGAGAACAAUUGGGAAUCUCAAUCACAUGAACCUGAUUGCGAUGUGGGGUUACUGCGUGGAGGGAAGGCACAGGCUCUUGGUUUAUGAGUUCAUGAAUCACGGUUCCUUGGCAGAAAACCUUUCUUCCGAUCAACUCGACUGGAAGAAGAGGUAUGAGAUCGCGGUGGGAUCAGCCAAGGGGCUUGCUUAUCUUCACGAGGAGUGCUUGGAAUGGGUUCUCCAUUGCGACGUGAAGCCACAGAACAUACUCCUUGAUUCUGAUUACCAACCAAAGGUGGCCGAUUUUGGGCUCUCUAAGCUACUUAACAGAGAGGGCUUAAGAAUACAAGUUUCUCAAGAAUCAGAGGAACGAGGGGUUACAUGCCAAUCACCUCCAAAGUGGAUGUGUACAGCUAUGGAAUCGUUCUAUUGGAGAUGCUGACAGGAGGGAACGCGGUCGCAGGCCAUGCCAUCCGCGGAGAAGUAAAAGGCGAGAACAAAACGUUGACUUCUUGGGUGAGAGAGAAGAUGAAACCAGGAGUGCCCACGGAGACAUGGAUAAGGGAAAUUGUCAAUCCAACCGUAAAGGGACCUUACGACAUCAAGAAGAUGGAAGUUUCGGUUGCGGUGGCACUUCAGUGUGUGGAGGAGGACAGAGAUGCGAGACCCACCAUUAGCCAGGUGGUUGAGAUGCUUCUGCGCCAUGAAAGUGAGGAUCUGUAAUUCGGAUACGAGCAUAACUGCUCGGGUUCCAACUCUAAAUAACCGGACAGUGGCAAAGGUAAUAGUCUUUGGAUGUAUAAACCUAGGAAAUGUAAGUGUUUAGGAACAAGUCUCUGUUUAUCUCUGUUUUAUCUUCUUGGAAAUCUAGGAAAGAUCAUUUAGCAUGAUAGUUCCCUGUAAGAAACAUCAUUCAGCAACAAGGACGCUAUUGCUCUUUUGUGGAAUGUUCACCUUUGGUGCUUAUGAUCCAGUCUUAUGAAUCCUCGGUUGAUCUGACAUGGUUUAAAUCGGUAUACGUAGAGGUGCCUUAGGCUCACGAGAUGGUACACUUCUUAAUAACAAAUCAUUGACUAGAUAAAAUAGUUACAAUCUAUAAUCUCCUUUUCAGACAUCAACUUUUAAACAUAACUAUCGCCAUACACUUCUCAUUCUUUUCGGCCGUGCUUUGCUACGAGCUAGUCUAAUACCUAAACCGAAGCAGUUCACUUGGGCUAGGGAACUUGACAUUAAUCUUGAGAGGUCAAGCCAUCAAAAAAUAGUUUGAAAUUGUUGACACCAAAGUUGAUUUGGUCAUUGAUACGCACGUGCUUGGCAGUUAGCAUGAGAAUGAGAAAUAUGUGGCAUAUGAGCAGGGAUAAGCAGCAAUCACGUGUAACAAAUGGGAUAACUUUCGUCCCUCGAGCACUUCGAGUUAUGCUCUUUAAAAGCUGCGUUAUUAUGUGGAAAUAAAGUGAUAACUCUAACGAUAUAAAAAAUGAAUAAGCCGUCUACUCAGUUUAAAUAAAUUAUUUGAGUUUCUAUUGCUGUUUACUUGAAUUAAGAAUUUUCCACUUCUUCCGUACAUAGCACGGGCCAGAUUACUGUACAUACAGGGUAAUCUUAACAUAUCAUUUUGAGAAUAAACACACUACAUAUUGUAUUUGCAAGGCACUGAGGAAAAAUCAAACGGAGAGAAAGUUCACGAGCCUCAUGGGUAGGAGAAAGAACAACACACUCCGAUGCUACAGACAAAGCGUAUAGGAGUGGUUGAUGCUACAGACAAAGCGUAUAGGAGUGGUUUAUUUUGAAAAAUGACUUUGUAUUUUAUAUAUAAACAUCUCAGUACAAGCCAGUCCUCAACUGGAACGCCAUGAGAAACUCGUCAUUCCUCCUUGCGCUUGUUCUCUCAAUCAUUCACUUGUCUUCUCAACAUUCCUCUGCAACUCGCGCCACUUCGCGCAUUGGCAACUCUCUCUCCGUUGCCAAUCCAGACAACAUCCUCAUCUCAAAGUCCAGCGUCUUCUCCGUAGGCUUUUAUCCCAUCGGCAAGAACGCUUACUGCUUUGCCAUAUGGUACAGCAAUCCACCGUGCAGUGGUCAGAAUUGCACGGUAGUUUGGAUGGCAAACCGCGAUGAACCUAUCAAUGGGAGAUACUCUUAAUCUUUUGGUUCAAAAGAAUGGCUAUCUUGUGCUAACCGACGCCAAGGACGCUAUUGUUUGGGCAACAGAUACGGCCUCACUCUUCUGGUCAAAGACACCAAUUCGUCAGUUACAGCUCCUAGACUUUGGUAAUCUUGUUCUUAGUGACAGAGAAGGCAAGGUCCCGUUGUGGCAAAGCUUUGACUACCUGAUCGAUGUGCUCCUCCCCGAACAAAACCUCAUUGGGAACACACCGCUUGUUUCCUCUCGGUGCAGCCGCAACUUCUCUUCUGGCUGGACCCGGGCCAUGUGUUGCAAAAUAUAGAGGAGGAGGAGGAGGAGGAGGAGCAUUGGGGGAAGAAUACGUAACACGGUUUGUUGCGAUCUAAAAAUAAUAAAUUCGAGAAAGUGAUAACAAAAAGAAAUAGUAAUUGGAGGUGAGGUACAGUUAGCUAAAUCACCUUAAGACGAUUAGUUUUCUCACUAUUUGUUGGGUUUACUAGAAAAUCAAGAUGGCUAAUAACAGUGAUGUCCAGAACGUUCCUGAAGAUGAUCCUUUGGUUGUUUCAACCGGUGAGGUUCAAACCUUGUGGCGUGGUGUUAUGGCAGCAAAUGCUGCGAGCCUUCAGGCUAAAACAAUCUACGGUGGUACAACAUGCCCAGGACUUUUUUAUAACAAUACAAACCAAAUGGUGUGUAGUCCAAUUUUUGGAGAGAUGGUUCAAUGGGAGCAUCCAUUUGAAACUACCAAAAGCCAAUCUCUCUUCUUAUCAAAGACCCACCAAAGGAUUCAAUUCCCUGUCCUGUCCCCCAAAAGUUCAAGAAGUUUUCCUGUAGAGGACUUAUCUGAAAAGCCAGAUGAAUUCGACACUCAACAUCUUGUUCACUGUUGCUAUGGUGCUAGCUGGAGUGAAAAUUGUUGUAGUCUUCCUCACACGGUCCUUGAUCGGGACUGAUCCUGACAAACUUGGAGGUUAUGCAAAGGGAUAUCAUCUUGCGGGAGCAGGAUUCACAAGGUUCACGUAUGCCGAGCUAAAGAAAGCGACCGAGAACUUUAGCAAAGAGAUUGGAAGAGGAAAUGGGGGAAUUGUGUGCAAGGGUGUCUUGCCAUAUCAUGGGGAAGCAGCGGUCAAGCUGCUAAACGAGGCCAAUCAAGGAGAAGACGAGUUCCUGGCCGAUGUGAGAACAAUUGGGAAUCUCAAUCACAUAAACCUGAUUAUGAUGUGGGGCUACUGCGUGGAGGGAAGGCACAGGCUCUUGGUUUAUGAGUUCAUGAAUCACGGCUCCUUAGCAGAAAACCUUUCUUCCUAUCAACUUGACCGGAAGAAAAGGUAUGAGAAUUGCGGUAAGAUCAGCCAAGGGGCUUGCUUAUCUUCAUGAGGAGUGCUUGGAUUGGGUUCUCCAUUGCGACGUGAAGCCACAAAACAUACUCCUCGAUUGUGAUUACCAACUAAAGGUGGCCGAUUUUGGGCUCUCUAAGCUACUUAACAAAGAGGGCCUUUAGAAUACGAGUUUCUCAAGAAUUAGAGGAACAAGGGGGUUACAUGGCUCCUGAAUGGAUUUACAAUAUGCCCAUCACGUCUAAAGUGGAUGUGUAUAGCUAUGGAAUCAUUCUGCUCGAGAUGCUAACCGAAGGAAACCUGGUCAUAGGCCAUGCCAUUGAUGGAGAAGUAAAAGUGGGGAACAAGGAGAUUAAUUACCUGGGUAAGAGAGAAGAUGAAACUAGGAGUGGCCAUGGAGACAUGGAUAAGGGAAAUUGUGGAUCCGACUGUAAAGAGACUUUACGACAUCAAGAAGAUGGAAGUUUUGGUUGCGGUGGCGCGUCAAUGUGUCGACGAGGACAAACAUGCGAGACCCACCACGAGCCAUGUGGUUGAGAUGCUUCUACGCCAUGAAAGUGAAAAUCUAUAAUUAGAUACCAGCAUAACUGCUUGAAUUCUAGCUCUAAAUAAGUGGACAGUUGCAAAGGUAAUAGCCUUUGGUUGUACAAACCUAGGAAAGAUAAUUUAGUAAGUGUUUAGGAACAAGUUCCUGUUUAUCUUUAUUUUAUCAUCUUGGAAAUUUAGGAAAGAUCAUUUAGCAUAAUGGUUCCUAGUAAGAGAGAUCAUUCAGCAAUGAGGACGCGAUAGCUCUCUUGUUACCGUUUGUCUUUGGUGCUUCUAAUCCAAUCUUAUGAAUAGAAGGUUGAUUAGACAUGGUUUAAAUAUUCAUUUUUAAAUAUUCAUUUAUUUUGCAAAAAUAUAAAAAAAUAUUCACCAAAUGGUACACUUCUUCUUAAUAACAAAUUAUUAACUAGAUAAAAUAGUUAAAAUUUCAAAUUUCUAUUGAUAUCUGAAUUUUUGUCGACGUUUUAAAUAUUUAUUUAUUUUGUAGAAAUAUAAAAAAAAUUAUAAAAAGGUAAAAAGCAAAAAAAAAAUGAAAAAAGAAAUGAAUGAAAUGAAAUGAGCGAGGGAGGAACAACAAGCUGUGACGCAAGCAAAUCCACGCCUUCUAGAAGGCUGAGCUGGCGUGAGGGAUGAGGAGGCCUAACCGAAAAAGAUUCGGGGAGAGGCGGGGGGGAGCGUGCGUGAGCGGGCGAGGAGGCUAACCCAAAAAGAAGAAGACCAGGUUGCAGAGAGGGAGGAGGGGGCAGAAGUUUUUCUUUGGCUAAAGAAGAGAGGAUCGUUCGGCAGGAGAGGGCAUUAUUCGGCCAUUAAAGAAAGAAAAAGAGCGAGGGCUUUUCUUUUUCUAGAGGCGCCGCUCUCAGUGCGACCGCCACGAAGAACGUUCUCUCGGGUCCAGUCCAUGUUCGUCCUCAUGAGCGACGUUUCCCAAACUCUCCUCACACCGGCCGGCCAUUUUCUUAAGCUUCGCCAAUGAACAAGCAGCAGUUGCAACGCCACAUCUAAUCAGGUAAGCAUCUCGCUCCCCCUAGAUAUCCUGUAUUUUCUUCAUGCCAUUGAGGAAUUAAGAACAAAAAUUUCAAUCUAUAAAAUCAUGGUUUAAUCUUGUGAAACGAGACAUAUUUGUGAGGGACGAUGUUAUUUGGAGUUUGAUAUGUCAUUUUUAGACCGAAAAUCAUAUCAAAAUGGUAUCGGAGGCUUGUUCUUGUACUACACGUAAUCAAUUUGGCUGUCAAAAUGAUAUCUUAGGAAUGAUAUCUAUUUGAGAAGACAAAGAUUUGCCUCCCUAAUUUGAAAUCGAUUGUUUUUUAUGCGGAAUAGCGACGAUUCAACACGCAGGUUCUUCUCUUCUAUAGCCCUCGGAUCCUAACUCGAUGAGACUGCCUCUCAUGCUUCCUGGUGAUAGUGUGUCCGUCGAAGUAUGAGGGUUAGAAGAGGGACUUUAGCGCUAUUUAAAAAAGUUUUUAACUAAACUCUCUCAUCACGAGCCGAUCCAAGCCCAACUCGGCCCACAUAAGCUAGGUUCAUAUUCGACUAUUAAGAAACCUUAUACCCUACCUUAUUAGGCCAACCCCGUAAAACGGUAAAUCACAAUCACAAUUAAUGACAACCUUAGGAAAACUAUUGCAUUCUCUCACUUGGACUAUAUUAAUUGAGACUAUACUGCAUGUGCGCACCUUUAUAUUGAUCUAAAGACAAUUCUUAAUAGUCAAUCAUAGUCCAUAGAGUCUCAAACACUGAAUCAUAGCAAUAACUACAUGUACACACAUAGAAUCUUCCAUGAUUACAGUUGAUUUCAACUUUAUUGAUAUUGACCUCAAUAUGAUUGUGUGGUGAAUGGAUAAUACAUCAUGAAAAGUAAUAACUUAUGAGUCAUCCCCUUUGACGAUCACUAUUUUCUUACUUUAAGUGUCACAAAAAACCGAAUGUGCCACUAGAGAAUAUUUUUAUAGUUUUGAUGAACCCACAUAUGUUUUAUCUUUAUGAUUAACCUUUCUUUAUAUGUAACCAAGACAUAUGCUCAAAGUUGACAACCAAAUGCCAUCAGCCUUCACUCAAGACUUACACAAUACCUUGAGAUUUUCAUUACAUAUAAUCAACUUAACAUAAUGACACACAUUAAUGGACACUUUAUUGAAUAUGAAAGAGUCUAUACAUGUUAAAAUGUUACUGAAUAUAACAAAACAUAGAGGUAAGCUUUAUUAAAGCAAAAUCAAAACAACUCCCACUAAACAGCAUCAUCCAAUGAUGUUUCUUAGCCCAUAUUUAUGACAUAUUGCUCAAGUACACAAGAGUAAAGGUCUUUAGUUAGUGGGUCUGCAACCAUAUUAUCUGUAAAAAUAUGCUCUACUAUAACAUCAUCAUUCUCUAUAUUUUUUAUGGCAAAAAACUUGACUGCCAUGUGUUGACUUUUAUUGUUGUUGAUAAACAACACUGAAGAAUCAUUGUCUUGAUACAACUAUAUAGGUCUAUUCAUAAAAUCAAAUAUGGUCAACUCUUUAAUGAGGUUUCGAAGUCAAAUAUCCCAAAUAACGGUUGAAAAGCAUGGUACAAACUUCGUUUGCAUGGUAGAGGAUAAUAUAGAAUUAUGUUUUUCACUUUUUCAUAAUAUUGCACCUUCUGGUAAUAUAAAGAUAUAUUAUGUUGUCGACUUCUUAUCAUCCUAACAGCCAGCAAAGUUUGCAUCCGAAUACCCUAUUAGCUCCAGGUUAUGAACAUGUCUAUAAACUAGCAUAUAGUCGUUUAUCCUUUUAAGUACCUCAAAACCUUAUUGGCAGCAAUUCGGUGAUCAUGUCAUGAAUUUGAUUGAUAUUAACUCAAAAUUUUGUUGCAAAACCAAGAUAUGUUCUAAUACAAACUUAAGCAUACAUGAUACUUCCUAGUGCACUAGCAUAAGGUACAUCCUUCAUUUGGGUUUUCCCAAAAUCUAAAUGAGGACGAUGUAAUAGACUUACUUUAUUACCCUUAACAAUAGGAGUAAUUCCUAACUUACAAUGUUGCAUACUAAAUCUUUUCAAAAUACAAUCAACAUAUGCAAUCUGAGAUAAAUCUAACAUAUAGCGAGAAAAUCCCUAUAUAUCUCAAUGCCAAGGACAAAAAAUGCCUCAUCAAGGUCUUUCAAGUUAAUAUUCUUUGACAUCAUUUACUUUGUCUCAUGCAAUAAUCCAAUACCGCUGCUUGCAAGUAAGAUGUCCACAUAAAGUAUGAGAAAAAUAAAUUUCCUCCCAUUAACCUUGCAGUAUAUGCAUUCAUCUACUUUAUUCUCAACAAAACCAAAAGAAGUGAUAACAUUGUGAGACUUCAAGUUGAUUAAGGACAAGAAACAACAUUUAUAAAUGUCACUAGAUCGACCACGCAGUAGAUAUUGUAAUCAUACUCUCACAGAUAGACUAUAUAGUCUAGUGGUAUAAUCGAUUGUCUCUGCAUAAUAGAUCUCUUGAGUGGAGCUACAAUCACUCCAUCCUUUACCUAAAGGGCUUGACAAACUUCAUCAUGAAUUGUAUUAAUAACAAUAUCUUGAACCUCAAUAGAUUUAGUAUGUGGUGUAAGAGACUCCACAAUCGUAUGUAUAGGCAAAGAAAACGACACAAUGAUCUCUAUUUUUAAUAGUCCAAGAGAAGCUAUCCUCUACGAUUACAUCAAACUCUAUAAAAUUUUGUUGUCUAUGAUUCCAUAAUUUUUGCACCUCAUCAGAACCAUUAUAAAGAAUAUUUAUAUUUAUCUUAAUCUCGGCAUUAAACAAGACACAAUUUUAUACCAUCAACACUUUCAUCAUCCUUUUAGCAAUGCAGUUAGCUGGUAAAUCAUUUUCAAAUGUUCCUAAAUAGAACACUUCAUGGAUAAUGAACAUAUUUAAUUGCUCUUUUUCAUAUGCUUUCUAGUUCCAUAUCGUCAACAAUGAAAUUGCCAACUUAUUCUCAGUAAGAGCAAUAUGAACAUCUACCAACUUCAUCUUAAAUAGAAAAUCCUCUUUCACUACUUAAAGUUUGAUCCAGUAAGAACCUCAAUCACAAUGGAGUUUCCAUUUAAAAAGAAGAUGACUUAAUAACAAGCAAUUUAUACAAUUGGUAUCAUGUAAGUAUUGUGUAACUUGAAAAGCAUAUAAGUACACAUCCUGAAAGUUAUAUGCAUCAUUAUAUAAACACCUUUAGGUAGAAUACAUGAUAUGCAAUUGUAUACUCUCUACAUGACAGUGAUCAUGAGAAUUUAUUCUAACCUUUUGCAAAUUCACCACAUUUGAGUGUAUGAACUAUUAGAGUCAAUCACUCCUCAACCAUAUGUUAUACAUGCAUCCCUCCAUGAAUUAAUAAAUAAUCAUUUCCUUUGGGAGUAUAACUACAUAUUAUAAUAUGAGACAUCCCAUCAUAAUAUGAGACCAAUAUCUCUCAAAUCUAAUCAAGUGUGCCACUUUAGCAAUUAUAACCCAAUUUUUUUUUUUAACGGGAAGUUAUAACCCAAUUGAAUCAUUGAAACUUUUUUAUAUCAGUGAUAUAAACUUUAUGCUUCACAUUUACCUUAUACAUAUGAUUUUAGACUUGAUGACAGGGGGGCAAUUUGUCACUAAAAUCACAUGUCAUGUCAAUUAUAUAGCUCCAUUCAUUUAUACAUGUUGAACCUUAUACAUGUUAUUAAUGAAUCAAUGCUUUAUACAUUCUUUAUGUGAUGAUAUUCAUGUAAGCUUGCAAAGUAUUUCCAAAAUUAUAGAGAAAUACAUGAAAAAUACCCAAAAAAUACCCCCAAAAUCCAUGUAUUUAGGGUUCCACAUGCAUUUUCAUAUCCUUAAAAAUAUCAAACAUGUAAAAUAUAGUAUAGAGAAUUUAUAUAUGAGUAUGUUGGUGCAAACCAUAUGCCGAACGGAGGCUCUACACGCCCUCACAUGUUGCUGGAGUGUGCGGCACAUGAACUACAUGUGCUGGCGUGCUUGAACCAAUUCGGCUGCUAGUUCAAUCGGGUUCAAUCGGUCCAACCUGUAACACCCCGAACCCUUCGCAGGUUGUCACCAGCGCCAAUGUUACACCUUAUUACCUUUUUGUCUUUCGAAGAAGUGUCCUAAUUUGCGUACACAUUUUUUUUUCUUUUAAAACAAAACGGUCCUAGCGCAACUCAUUAGCAGAAGCAAUUUAAAACAUCACCGUCUCCCCCCUACCAACCAUGAUACAAAUACACACCACUAAUCACCAUAAUUUUAUAAACAAGCCACGACACUUUAUUUACAUAUAUUUCAAGAUGGGAUUCCCUUCGGGUCGGUACAACAAAAAGGAAAAGCUAGGACUCAGCCAUGUCCAGCCUAAAACCUCAAAAAGAACCCUCGACCCUCAACAUCAUACGUGCACAACCCCCAUCAAAAGUGUCGGCUAUCUAUAUCCAAAAAGAUCCAGCUCCUACUCAUCGUGCACGAGUCUCACACCCAACCCGGUGCAUCAGGCGAUGGCGGCGACAACAUCCCUCGCAUCGCUCCAUCCCGACGAACGUGCACAGAUAUGAACUCCUGAAUGACAGGGCCCCCAGCCAGGCCUAUGUCGUACAUCACUAGACAGCGUACUCGAAUAAAAGUCAAUCCGGGAACAAAGGGACAGUCUAUCUCAACACACUCGACCUCUACAUCGGAUGGUAGACCGUAAAACACCCCCCGCGUGACGGCAGGAAGCGGCAUACUGCUAAUCUGAAAUGUGGGUCCCCAAAGGGGUGAGUACAACCACUCAAUAGAUAGGGAAAUCCAAUAACAACUCAAUGCAUCAUGCAAUCAUACAUGCAUUGCAGGCGCUACUUACCUUGAAGCCAUGCGCAUACUAUCAUGCAUCAUCAUAUCAAUUCAUAACACAUUCAUGUGUAUCAUCAUCGUAUCAUACAUGUCAUCAUCAUCAUGGCAUCAUUACAUCAUACAUGUCAUCAUCAUCAUGACAUCAUCUCAUUACACAUGCCAUAUCAUAUGUCAUCAUCAUUAUCAUCAUCAUGCACAUCAUCAUGCAUAUCAUAUCAUGGGUGAUCAUCAUUAUUUCACAUCACAUGUCAUCAUCAUCAUCAUCAUGCAUAUCAUCAUGCAUAUCAUAUCAUGGGUGAUCAUUAUUUCACAUCACAUAUCAUCAUCAUCAUCAUCAUCAUCAUCAUCAUGCAUAUCAUAUCAUGGGUGAUCAUCAUUAUUUCACAUCACAUAUCAUCAUCAUCAUCAUGCAUAUCAUCAUGCAUAUCAUAUCAUGCAUAUCAUGUCAUGAUUUAAUUUCCACUUUUGGAUUUCAAUCUUGAUCACCACAUCACCCAUUUCUCAAUUCAUCAAUUUUAUCAUCCCCUCGGGCAAAGACCUCCGAGGCUUCCGGCAUUCAGCCUCCCAGGCCACCGGGCAUCCGACCCCCCACAUUCCAGUCAUCUCGCAUCUCAACUAGCAUCACGAGGCAUUCCCUUCGGGCAAAAACCUCCGACAGGGCUUCCGGCAUUUACACUCCCUGGCCGAGCAUCCCGCACCCCAAAUCCUGGCAUCGCGAGGCAUUCCUUUCGGGCAAAGACCUCCAACAAGGCUUCCGGCCCCCCACAUUCCGGGCAUCCUGAAUCUCCCAGGGAAUCUGGCAAUGCAUCUUUGUACACUCCGGCCUCAUCCUCCACCACAACCACUUACUCACUUAUCAUUAUCCACAUUUACCAUUAUUUUGAUCUCAAUUUAACAUGGCAUAUGGCGUGACAUCAAACAAGUCAUACUUGGCAUAGGAUUCACACAUGCAUCACAACUCAAUGUCAUACAUAUACCAAGACUUUAUCAUAUGCUACAAGAUAAACUUAAUGGAAUUUAUGGCCAAUAAAAUAAUCCAUUUUAUUUUAUUAUUUAUUUAUUUAUUUUUAAUAAAUAAAUAUUAAAUUCAAUAUCUAUAAAUUCCCAAAAUUAUAAAAUUCAAGCAAUCAUUAAAAAAACCAAUAGGAUGACAAUUUCAUGCAAAAUUCAUGGCCAAAUUGAAUUUCACACAAUUUCACAAUUUCUACAAUAUAGCACAUAAUAUUCGGAUAAUAACCAGAAUGCACAGUUCCGAAUAAAUUCGAUUAAAAUAUCCACACGGCCUCCAAAAAUUACAAAAUUUUACAGAAUGAUAGCUAAGACAUUUUCGUACAACUUUCAUGAAGAACUCCAAGCCAGAUUCUUUUUAUAUUAUUUUUUACAACCUCACGAAGCUUCUGGACCCAUUACCGCAUCGUCCAGUGCACAUAUCACCGAAAUAUUGAGAUUUCACCUACCAUUUCUCUUUCGUUUCCUCUGAAAUUUAGAUAUGUUAUACAUCAAGGUAUCCUAUACAAGUUUCAUGAGAGAUCUAGGUCAAAUAACCAGAGUAUAGUCAUCAUCUAUGUCCAUGAAGUCUCAGGUAUCUCGGAAUACAACACCAGAAUCAUCAUCUUCAAGAUCUAGUCGAUUUACUAGGCUAUACUUGUUCAUUUCACUUAAAAUUUGAGUAUGUUGUAGUUUAAGAUGUCUCCUACAACUUUCAUGAAGAAUCUGAAGUGAUAUUCUCAACAAAAACCAACAUGCAACCAUGAAUCCGGCAAGAGGUCAGUAAAAACUCUCCAGAUCUGAGGUCUCCGUAUAAUAAGACUUUAACCCCUCAAAUCUCCAUCAUUUUUCACGAAAUUUCAGUAUGUUGUAGUUCACGAUGUUAGCUACAACUCUCAUGAAGAAAUAAAAGCCAAAAUCUGACUCUAAACACACAUGCAAGCUCAAAAAAGUUACUGACUACACGGUCCGAGCAAGAACAGUCAUGCGGUUUAAGAACAAGCCAACCAUACCUCGGUUUUUCUCACUUAAACGCCCAAAAUCUAACAUGCAACCAACAUACAAGCAUGCAAGAGAAGCUAUAGGAUUCCCACUUGCCUCUAGGAUGGAUGGUCGACGGCGUACAGCGGUGUACACGGCGGACGGACGGCGGUUUCCCUCCUCUCUCUCGGCCGCUCCUCCUCUCUCUCGCACACCUCUCUCUCUCUCGUUGGGCGAGCAAAUGGCCGGCCACCCUUCUCUCUCUUCCCUUUUAUUUCCCCAAUUUCUCAUGAUUAGCAAUCAUGAGAUUGCCUAAAAACCAACCAAUGCAUGGCCUUCCCCUUUGCCACUUGUCACAUUGAAUUUUGAAUUGAAUUUGGGCUUCUUGGGCUUGGGCCUCUAUGGCCGGCGACUACUCCUCCCUUGGGCCUCUAUUGGGCCGGUCGACUUCCCCUCUUGGGCCCCUCAUCUUGGCCCAUUAAAGGCUUAGGCCAAAUGGGCUUAAGGCCCAUUCGAAAAUUAACCCCUUUUUCCCUUCUUUUUUUUUUUUUGAAUUUCUUCUAUAAAUAUUUUUCAAUUUCAAUUUUCAUCUUGGCCAAAGUCUUGGGGCAUUUUGGUUAUUGAAAUUUAAUUUAUAAAUCAUAUGGCCAAGCAUAAUUUAUUAAUCUAUCAAAUUUAAAUUCUCGCAAUCAUACACACAAAUCAUCUAAUUAAAAAGGCUAAUGGCUAAAGCAUAGGCCAUGGAAAUCUUAUCACAUAAUUAGAGACUUUAACACACCUUAUGGCUUGGCUUUGAAUUUUGGGAUGCCACACAACCGGCCAAUGAUCCAAUCGAGUCAGGUCACCCAGUCAACUCGGGUCAGGUCAAUUGCCAAACUGGGUCAAGUUAGCUCGGUAAAACCUAGUCGAGUCAACCCGGCUAGGUAAUGACGUCAGCUCUUGCGAUGUAGUGGUCAAGUCAGCGAGGUGACGUCAUUGAUGAGGUCACCUACUGCCUUAAGCGGUUAUGGGCCCAUGUGUGCAAGCACGUGAGCACUCGCUAAAGCUGCCGCCAUGCGUGCAGGUGCGUGACAAUGCAUUCGGCCUCUUAUGGAGGUGUGUAACCCACCAAAAUGCUCGUCUCGAUGAAAGGAGUUCAAAUAUGUGAUUUAAAUUCACUUUUACUAGUCUAAAAAUCACAAAAAACGAGCAAAAACGACCUAAAGCCAUGUGAAAUCUGAGAUUCUCAUGGGCAUCCCAUUUGGCCUUCGCUAGAGGUGUGCCACCCAUCAAAAUGCUUGGCUCAACAAGACAAAUCGGAAUAUGUGAUCGAAAUUAAGUUUCAUCGGACAAAAUUUUCAAAAUGGGCCAAAUUCCCUAUGUUCGAAUUCUAUGGUAUGCCAACUCUGAUACCAAAUAUUGGCCGUCGAAACAGCAUCUUAGGAUCAACAUAACUAGAAACUCGAACAUAUUGGAGCAGAAUAUGUAGAUUUACGUACCUAAUUUGGAAUCCAUCAUUCUUUAUUCGAAAUAGCAACAAUUUCGACGCUCAGGUUUUUCUCCUUUAUAACUCUCAAAUCCUGGCUCAAUGAGACUGCCCUUCAUGGCUUCCUUAUGUGAGGUGAUAGUGUGUUUGUCAGAGUAUGAGGGUUAGAGAAUGGACCUUAAUGCUAUUUAUAGAAUUUUCAGCUAGACCUUCUCAUCACAGGCUAGGCCCAAAUCGGCCUACACAAGCUAGGCCCAUAUUCAACUAUUAAGAAACCUUAUUCAUUACUUAUUAGAUUAAUCUUGUAAAAUGGUAAAUCAUAAUCUCAAUGGAUGCAACCCACAUCAAGAAAACUUAUACAUGAUAUACUGAAAUCCAUGCUAUCCGAUCACCAUAGAGGUUUAGUUUAAUGCUUCAUCGUUCUUGUAUUGUUGAAGGAUGCCUGACAUUUGUGUCUCUGGUUUUGUUUUUAUGCGAUUUCGUGGAAACUAAUCGUUUGUCAUCGAGUCAGCCAUGGAUGAACACCUCACCGGAGAUGCCGUUCCUUCAAUCGGAGAAGCCCAUGGUUCAAAGCCGUUCAAGUCAGCAUCUCUCUCUAUUUUAUUGUGCUUGUGUUUGUUUGUUUGCCGAGAUUGCUGGUGUUAGAGGUUUAGGUACAAUGAGAUGUUUAUUUUUGGUGUUUUAAUGGUCACUGGAAUGGCCAACUAGAAGUGAUGAAUGAUGAUCAGUCGUGUUGGCCAAUGAUGAUGUAGGACGAUGACCACCAGCUAGAUGGCAGUGGUGUCAAGUGUUUCUCGACGGCAGAGACGUAGCAAGAGUUCAGCCUCAUUGAAGGAGGAGCUAGAAGUUGAAGAUGAUGCUGGGUUGAAGGAGAUGGGCAGAAAAAGACAAAAUAGGAAAAAAAAAAGCGAAAAAGGAAAAAAAAAAAAAAAAGAAGCGAAACUAUAGAAAAAUAAAAGGGCUAAAGGGUAUUCUGUUGUGGGCAUGGCUCAUUUCAAAAUAUGGGCCCGAAAAAGAGUUAAAAAGAAAAAAUAGUUCAUAGGCUUUUAUAAUUCAUUACAAGCGAGCUUUUAGGGUUAAUGUUUUUAGCCCAACCCAUUCCAAUAGGGUUUAGGUUGAUUUAGUUGGGUCAGCUCUCUUGACCUGGUCCGAAUCCCUUUUAUAUUGAUAAAUUUUUAAAAAUUUAAAAAGGAAAAUAUUGUUAAAAAUUCAAAAAAUUGAUAAAAAAAAGUUUAAAAGCUUUAGGGAAUAAUAAAAAUUUCAAAAAAUGCGAAAAUCAAUUAAAAAAAAGGAAAUUUUAGAAAAUCAUUAAAAAUUAGAAAAUCCAAAAAUGAUAAUUUUUUUUAAAAGAAAAUAGAGGAUCCUUUGAAACUAAAACCUAGAAUUGGAUAACCUUUUAGGGCUUUACAAUAGGGAUUCUUGUUUUUCUUUGUCUUGUUUUCUUUUUUAGGGACAAUUUAGGAUGCUUGCAUAUUCUCUAUAAUGAUUAUAAUUGAUUGUGAUUUUCAAUAUUUGGAUGUAAUUUCCUUGUUUUAGAAUGGUUAGGACAAAUAUUUGAAUUUUCUUGAUAGGCUGUUAUGGCAUUAGUUAGCACAUGAUUAGAUUAAACACCGAAAGGGCAUUAGCCUUUGGGCUAACGUAAUCAAGUUCCUGAGUCCAAAAUCUCUAGUUGCGUAAAUUAUAAGAUAUCAUUUUGUAUCCUACUGGGUUUUUAGCCAAGCCCAAAAAAGCUAGUGGCAACUCUUUAGUCAAAAUUUGCAUAAAUUUAAUUAAUUAAAAAUUUGAACGCUCCAUGUCACGUAACGUAUGGGCUUGGGAGAGCUUGAGUCAAUAGAAGGCCACCAACUCGAAGUUGACAUACGCCUAAACCUAACAAACUCAUUCUCCCGUGAGGGGGGUUAGGUUGGGACAAUUUCCCUUUUAGACAUUGUUUUUAAGGUAAGUACACUAGAAGUGCAAUAAGUUGUGUACGGUGCUUAUUUUGGUGCCAAAAGUUUAUUUUUGACCACUUAAGUGCCAAAAAAUUUGAAAAACUAUCAUUUCAGUAUCAAUGUCGAUCUGGUUGGCCGAAUCCGACGUAACAGUUUUUUUUAUUAAUUUUUGAAGCCAAUGUGAAUCGCUGGAGAGUACAAUUAGCAUACAAACAACAAAACAACGCCGUUUAGCAUCUUUUCCCCUAAGUAGGAAUCCUAAAUCCCCAAGUUAAAAGAAAACUGGAAGUUCAAAACCCUAAAUCCCCAAUUUCAAUGCAUAUUUCAAUUUUCUUCCAAAAUUAUCAGCUCACUCUUGCAAAUGGAGGGUAGAAACUUUAGCAGCGGCUCACAUUCUUGCGAAAAAAACGAAUUAGAUGGUGGGUGUUAUCGUUAUUGUGGGUCACCAAGUCCGAGAAGAACAUCUUGGAUCCGGUUGAAUCUCAAGAGAAGAUUCCAUGGGUGCAGCAGAUAUAGAGAAUACUCGAAAUGCAAAUAUUUCAAAUGGAUUGGUAGAAAAUUCUCUGAUUAAGCAACAAAUAUAAUCUUAAAGUUACUUGAAGGUCGACAUCAACAUCCACCUACAUUAAUGGAUGAGUUGGAAGAUGUUGACUAAAUGCAAGCUCAAAUGAAAACUUUAACAUUUCUGGUUGACCAUUUGAAGAGGGAGGUUUCAAGGCUGAAAAUUGAAAGAAACUUUUAUCAAACAUUGAUUAUGUUGUUAUUCUCUUGUGUAGUCUAUUCAAAUGUGAAGUGAGUAAUGAGAAGAAAUUUGUAUGUCUACCAUAGUCAAAGACGUGGAAUAUGCACUUGUAUUGAAUUAUUUAUAAGUAAAGUAUGUUUUUGGUUUGCUGCAAUUUUUGUAUGAAGUAGAAAGUUUUGUUGCAAUCUAUGAUAGAAAUGGAAGGUUGGAAUUGGAAUGCAUUAGUUGUGAGCACUUAAAAAUUUUCUUGCUUAGUUGUGUAUUGUCAAUGUUUGUUUUGGUUAGUUUUUGCUACUGAUAUAAUGGUUUGCUGCAACUAUUAUUACAAACCAUGGCGAAAUUAAGGGAUGGUGGAAAAUUCAUGAUUGACUAUUCCAGUUCCAUAAGUUGUAAAUACCAAUCACUUGAGCGUCAAGUUUUUAUAAAAGUGAUCAUUUAGUUACCGUUUGUUUUUACUCUAAAUAAUGUUUGAUUAUGUUCUUUUGUUCCCCGAAACAAAAAAAGAACAGAAUUCCAUUUGAUAAAAUUUUUAUUCCCGAAAAUAGAUUUGGAACAUAAUUAGGAAAUAGAAAAAAGUAUAUUCUUAUUCCUAGGAACAAUUCUUAGAAUCAAUUCCUAUUUUUUUAUUUUCUUCUUUUUUUUUCUCUUCUUCUCUUCCUCUUUCUUCUUCUUCCCUUUGGCUAGUUGCUAGCCUCAACUAUGGCUAGCAAUCGGCCAAACACGAGCUGGCAAUCUCGCUGGAACGUCGCCAACCCAUGGCGACACCGAGCCACGACGAGGCUUGUCGACCCGAGCCUCCCCAUGGCUGUGUAAGAUCCGGCGAGGCUGAGCUUGCCCAGCCCAGCCAAGGUAAAGUCGAGCCUCACACAACCAUGGCGAGGCUCGGCCUCGCCUAGAUCUAGCGAGUCUCCGACGAGCUCACCGAACCUCGCCCAGUAGGUUGCUGGCCACCGCCGUAGCCGAUGACUGGCUACAAAGAAGAAAGAGGAAGAAGAGAAAAAGAAAAAGAGAAAAAAGAAAAUAUAUAUAAUAAAAGUAUUAAAAAAAAUUAAAAGAUACAAAAUUUUAAGAAUUUUACCAAACGCAUUUCUAUCUGAGAAUAGAAAUUUUGGACAGUUACAAAGCUCAUUCUUUUGCUUAGAAAUUGUUCCCGAGAAUUGAAUUAGAAAAAAUCAUUUCUGAUCAAAAAUUGUUCAUCGAAACAGAAUGGUUACCAAACUUGCCCUUAAGUGCUAGUCGCAAUUACAAAAUGAUCACUUGUAUUGUAUAAGUUUUUUUUUUAUUAAAAAAAACAUGUUAAUUCCAAACGUCACUUGACUUGCACCAAUCGUGGUGCAUCAUGUUGCACCAGUUAGGUUGUUGGUGCAUCUUGUUCUUGCACCAACUCAUACAAGUGUUAAUGCAACAAGAUACAUUAGCACCCAAAAUUGCUCAUGUAAGAAGAUGCAGCACCCACUACUACACCAAGGUGAGCUGGUGCAUUUUGUUCUUGCACCAGCACAUACCACCAGAACUCACAAAUUCAUUAGCAUCCAUAACUUCAACCAAUAACAAUAUAUGCACACAUCACUUCUAAAAACAAUAUCAACCUCAUAAAAACAUCACACCAACAACAAAAAAUUAUACAACAUAAUUGUCUUGCCAGCAUUACUAACCGAAACCAACACAAGAGAAAAUAACAAAAAUAGCUUUUACCAUUGACAUUGAUUGAUUCUUUACAAAAGAAAAAAAAAUUUCUAACUUCACUCCCCAAUCACUGAAGGUUCAGGACCCUCUUUAAAAAAAUGGCAAUAUGCACCAUCCUUAAAAAACAAUGACAGCAACUACCAUUAAUAAAUAUACAAUAUCCAACACCCUCCUAAAAAAAGAAAACAUAAAAAGAGACCAUGUCCAGCACCACAUAAAAGAGAUCAUGUCCAUCACCCUCCCAUUAGUCAAUAUGCACAACACCCCCACCUUCUUUUCCUUUUGAAGUUUUGAAUUGAUUCAUAAUUCGAGCACUCUUUCGAACUGGAUGUGUAGGUUCUUUAACUGGCCUUUCUAUCACCUCAUUUUCUUUGUUCUUGACAACGCAUAUUUUUGUUUUAGCACGUAUCGUGUGUUGGUCCAUAUGAUCACUAUUGCUCUCAUGAUCAGUUAGUUGAGAUGAAACUUGUGCUGUAUUCUUUUUGGAUAGUUGUUUUGGAGCUAUACCUGCUGUCUUCUUCUUUGGAGCACUUUUCUUUGGUUGCACUUUGAUUCUUGAGUUGGCCCACCUUGAGAAAUAAAUACCUUCGAAGUUCUCCCAAGCUACAAGAACAUAGCUAUAUUGUCAACCAAAUAAAUUGAAGUACAAAAAAUUAAAUGCAUGAGACUUACAAAUCUUAUAUUCAAAAUAGUCAUUAUAGUAAGUUCAUUUGUGUAAAUCCUAUAACCAUAUUGUCUUAAUCUUUUUCCAAGAGCCCCUCUUGUUCGUUGUGGUGCAUCAUUUUCAACAGUAACAAAUGAGGGAGCAACCUGUGCAACUUGUGUAGUUGCUCAUCUUCUCACCUGAGAAACACAUAACAAAUUUAAAUUUUUGCCCAUAAAAAACAAACGCAACAAUGUACAACUUACAGGAUAUUUUUUCUCGUUUGCUCAAUAAUGGAUUCAGUUGUUGUUGUUGAUGUCCUGCCUGUUCCAAUCCCUAUCCCUGCACUUGGGCCUACAAGAGGGCCUUUCUUUGGCCCUUUAAUAGGCUUUACAACAAUAAACUAUAUCAGGAUUAUGACCAACUAAAAUAAAUAAUUAGACAUCUACUCACUUUCAUGAUGAAAAUAAAUGAAGAAAACUUCUCAAAUUAAUUAUAAGUGCAUGACAGAGGAAAAUGACAAGAGAAGCCAAUACACAUGAUCAACUAUCAAACUUUAUCGAAUAUGAACUAAAAAUUUACUGAGGCAAAGAGGAUAUUUACCUUACAGUAGGACUUUCUAUCUGCCCUUUGGUAGGCAUUACAAUAGGGCCUUCUAUCCUCCUUUCAGUAGGCUCAAUAAGAAGCUCUUCAGUAGGUCAUGUUCCUGGCACUAAAUCAGCCAUUAGAUCUUACUAUUGAUGUUGAUUUUUUAGCUUACAACCUUUCUUGUUAUGCCCUUCCUAGUGGCAAUAGAAACAUUUCAUCUUUACCCCAGUCCUACUCAUUCUCUUACUUGAUGCAUCUUCCUACAGCAUUCUUCAUCUCCUUUUUGGCUUUCCUAUUUGAUUCUUCAGUGGCAAAGAUAGAAGGCUUUUAUGAUUUGUUGGCUCCCGAAAUUUGCUACUUCUGAUAGGCUACAUCAUAAAUUGGUACGAAGCAAGGUAUGAGCUUUUUUGUACGAAUCAUCUAGGUAAUCAUAUGGGUUUUCUUGCUUCAUCUGAAUAACACAAAUGGCAUGAGCACAGGGAAUUCUAUUUAGUUGCCAAGCUUGGCAUGAACACUUUCUUUUAUCUAGUUUGACAACAUGUUUAUCAUGAUUUUAAAUGAGGGAAAAGUGUUAAAAAAAAGUUUUAAACCUUUUUUUGUGCUAAUUUAGUCAUAAACAUUUUUACUUAGUGCUAAUUCAGUCAUUUCCGGCCAAUUUUGGCCAGAUUUUGCUGACUGGUCGGCUGACGUGAUUUGAUUGUGCUGACGUGAACAAUUUUGAAUAAUAUUUUAAUAUUUAUGAAUUUUUUUCUUUUUUCCCUCCCCUCCUUUGACUGGCGAGGUCGACCUCGCUAAACCUCGCCAGCCACAUCGCUAGUGGCCGUGAGGGCGGCCUCGUGCUGGGUGGUGAGGCUUGCCCUCACUGGCCACCUCGCCAGUGGCCGCGAGGGCCCAGCGAGGCUCGACCUCACCAGUGGCGCCCAGGCCGCGAGGGUGACCUAGCACUAGGCUGGCGAGGCUCGAACUUGCCGAAUUGCGGCCUAGGCGGCACCGAAAAGGCUCAACCUCGCCGAAUUGCAACCUAGGCGGCACUAGCGAGGCUCACCCUCGCCGACCAUGGGCAAUGAUCAACCCUCACUAGAUCCAGCAAGGACGAGCCUUGCCGCCCAGCACGAGGCUACCCUCGCGGCCAUUAGUGAGGUGGCCGGUGAGGCUGCCCUCGUAGCCACUAGCGAGGUGGCUGGCAAGAUCCAGCAAGGUUAGCCUUGCCGGCUGAAGGAAGGGAGGGAAAAAAAUCAAAAUUAAAAAUAAAAAAAUCAAAAAUAUUAAAAUAAUAUUAAAAGUUGUUUACGUUAGCACCGAUCAGGCCACGUCAGUUGGCCGGCGUCCAAUCAACAAAUUUUGGCCAAAAUUGUCCGAAAAAUACUAAAUCGACAUUAAGUAAAAAGAUUUAGGACUAAAUUGACACAAAAAAAGGUUUAAAACUAAAUUGGCACAAAUACAAAAUGUUUAGGACAUUUUUAACACUUUUCCCUUUUAAAUGAUCUCAUAUCCAUUAUCUCAAUUCCAAACUGGAUGGCAUAACCUACUAGUAGCAACGUUUGCAUCCAAUCUCUUCACAAUCCUAGAACCACAGUCUCUAGUCCACUUCGUAGCAUCAUCUCUUUGCCUAUGCAGUCUAGUCAUGACUAUAACUCGAAUAUCAUCAAACGUGUUGAUGAUUGGUUUGCACCUGACCUCUAAAAUUAUGUCAUUGAAAGUUUUACUAAGGUUGUUAUUAAUGAUAUCACAUUUAAACUAUUCGUUGAAGAAAGCCCAACACAAGUGCUUAGCUUAUAUUUGGAACAAUGCAUCAAAACCUUCAUUUGUCAACUGCAACAAUCCAUGUUUGGCUAAUCUGAAAUAAGCCAUGUUGGUACUCUACGUUAUCUACUAGAAUUACUUUUCCAACCUAUCUCCUUUGAAGUUCUUUGACCAGUUUGUGUAUAUGUACCUUGUGCACAUUUUAUGCUCAGCAUGUGGCAUCGACUUAGCUAAUAUAGGAAUAAGUCUUUACAAAAAUUCAACCAAUAAAUACAAGUUAGGAAAAAUAUGCAAGUGAUGAUAUUAAAGGAAUGAAUUAAUUGACAAUAGUAUUACCUUAUGUUGGUCGCUCAUGAAUGUCAUCCUCCCUUAUCGGUUAUCUCAAUGUCAUCCAUUAAUUUUUUUAUGAACCAAAACCAAGUAUCCUUGUUCUCCAUCUUCACUACCGCCCAAGCUAUCGGAAACAUUUGAUUAUUGGCAUCUCUCCCCACAAUUGCCAACAACUCCCUCUUGCAUAAACCAUCUAGAAAGUAUCCAUCCAAUCAUAUAACUCUUAUAUAAUCAGCUAAGAAGCCCCGUUUGCAUGCAUAAAAACAGACAUAAAAUCUAUCAAUUCUAGGCCCAGGAUCAGGGAGUGACCUCUCCACAACCUCUACAUAUACCCUACUAGAUGGGUUUUGAAGCAUGCAUUUGUCAGCAUAAUCCCAUACCUGCGCAUAUUCUUCCUUAUAUCAACCCAUCAAUAUUUUCAUCACUCUCAGCUUAGUUUUCUUGCAUUGAUUCCUUGACACAUUAACCCUUAAUUGCUCCCUCACUAACAACUGAAACUAAGGACUCUUGAUCUCGGGCAUUGCUUUGAUAGUAUUGAAAAAAUGCUUCGAUAACCACACACUUGUUACCAUUUUAUUAUUAAAUAUAAUUUGACGAGUAUGCUUCUCCCGGAAUGACCUAAUUUGAAAUGACCUCUUCUUACUCGGCGCGCCAUAGAACUUCCAUGAACAAUUGGGUUGUGAGUACUUAGCUCUGACAAAUUCCUUCGUAUUUCUAACGAAUUCAAUGCUCCUUUAUUCAACAAUGGAGUUCUUGACAAUAGCUUACUUUAAUUGUUUAGCAUCAUCAAAUAUCAUGCCCACAGACUAAAUAAGUGUAUCAACAGUCGAAUUAUAGUAAAGGUACUUACUUUUUCUUCUAUGAGCAGAUUCUUCAUCAUCAUUGUCAAGCUCAUUCUCUGAACUAGCAAUUUCAUUGCCGUAGCUUUCUUCAUUUUCACUUCUAUUACCUUCAACUUGAGCUACAUCCCUAUUUACUAGCUCGGGCCUCUUUCCUACAGCUGCAAAAAAAAAAAAAAAUCUGAGAAAUUUCUUAUGCUUUUUUCUUGACUGUGCAAGUUCAUCAUAAUCUUCAUCACUUGAGAAACUUAUCGAAGCCAAAUAUUCAUCUUCCGAUUCACUGGAUAUAGCAACUUCCCAUUCUAAUCCAAUGAAGUCUUCAUCGCCCACAUCUUCACCCAAGAUUUCAAGAUAUCUCCUCGUUUGUUCAUCUCUAACAAUAUGACUUCUCUAUUUCUCAUUUUGCCCUUCAUCUAACCUAAACUCAUCCCCGACCUGAUUACUUGUGAUAUUCUGAAAAUUCAGUUAUGUUUUCAAUUGAAUGAAUCGGGCAUUUCAUCGACGCGCCUGUAGUACUAUUCUCUGAGCUAAUCACUCAUAAGAUAACUAAACUAUUUGGAGAAGCCAUUAAGGGAUUUUAAUGCAAUAGACUUGAGAAUUCGACUAUGAAUCGACUACUCAACCAUGCUAAUCUACAAGGGCCAUUACGGCACAGUCGAAAAUCUAUUAGAGACCAGAGAUAGGUCGAUUUGACUGAGAUAUGUGACCAGAGUGUGAAUGAUUUCACCAUAUUACAAAAUUCUCGUUGAUCGGCACUAGACUGAUUUUUCUAUCAUUUUGGUACCAUGUGUCCGUAAUCGAAAUCUCGAGAUUUUCACGACCACCGAGAGUCAUCAAUGUGUCAAAGAGGUACAUUGUUGCUCGAAGAAAAUCAACCAUGGGUCAAUUGCACUAAAAAUUCCUAAAAGCUACCCGGUAGGUUAGGUCACGCUAAAAUCGCGUCAGACUGAAAUUAACCGCGAAAUUGAACCUGAUUUCAAAAAUUGAAGGUUUUGUCAUGUCAUGAUUUAUUUUAGGGACGUCGACUCAUCCUUUGAUGAAUUUUUGGAGAGUACAGGAUUUAUGGAAAAUCAAUACAGACGUUUCGAAAAAGAACGGAAAUUCAGACGGGCCGAAUUGAAGGGAUUUUUGGCUUCCAAACCGAGCUAUUUGGUGAUGGAGACUUGUAGAAUUUGUGUGGGCUUUUUCUUCUAGAAAAUUGGCCAUCAAAUUGAGGAAUUGGGUGAAGAAAUUGAAGAUCAAAAUUGAUGAAAUUCGGAGCUUAAUGGGGGUGCAACUUUUGGGCAUCAAAAUUUGUUAUUUGUGGGUUAAUCUUCAAGAAAGUAAUUGUGGGGACAUAAAGGAUAAGCUUGGAGACUUUUGAGGUCAAAGAAUGAUAAAAAUGAGAUAUUUUUUCCUUGACUUUUGGCCCCCUCAUCCUCAGCUUCUCCAGCACGCUUCAACCAGUUCCCUCCUCCUUCGUGGCUUAUACUUAUCCAUUUUUUUAUUUGCUCCUUCGGCCGCUGUUUUCCCUUCAUUUCGUUCCAGCGAAUUCUUCCCCACAUCUUCCCUCUCACUGCCAACACAUACACACGCCUGCAUCUCCCUCCACUCCGUCAACCGCUACCCCCUCCACCAUCGUUUGUUCCCCCACGAGUCAACUUCCCCAAUAGAUUUCAUUUGUUGACUCCCCUCACGCCAGCGAAGCCGCGGUCUGCCCAUCUUCUCCACCGAAGACUCACGCUGCAGCUUUCGACAGCCCACCAUAUUUUGUUCCCUUAACCGAAGCAGUCCCUCAACCAUUUCUCUCUCUCUGCUGUUGCCAGCAUCCACGAUUCAACCCCCCACUCAGUCAACACUCCCUCGAAACCUCUUCUUGUUAACUCCAGCAGCCCUGUCCGAAGCAACUUCAUUUCAUUUGGCCGCCGAGUAAGCAAACCACUAACUUUCCUACGGCUGCGACAAUGUUGAAGUCCACCGAAGCUGCUGGCUGCUUCUGCCUUUGACUCUGCCGCACAACCCUCAAGCGUCCAUCACCCUUACAUGAAGCCGAGCCCAAUAGUUCGCAAAUUCCAGCCAACUUUGUAGCUGAUUUCGACCUUGGUUUGGCUCUCAUUGGUGUCACCGUUUUGGAGUUUCUCGGUCAUCGUUGCACCAUCGUCGCCGUGGACUCACCAACCUGCAAAUCCGGUGAGUUUACUCACUAAACUCUGCUUAUGGAGUUAAUUAUGCUUAGGGGGUGUUUAGAUUAUGCUAAGUAUAUUUAGGUGGUUAGAUUAGUUUAAUUAAAUAUUGAUUAGAUUAUGUGCAUGAUUAGAUUAGUGGAUGGAUUAAUUAGUCUAAUUAUGUGAUUAGAUUAGUGUAAUCACGAUUAGACUUUUAAUUAAUUAUUUUUAUUUAUUUAUUUAAAUCAAAUAUUAUUUGAUUAUAUUAUUUUAGCUUUAAUUUAAUUUAAUUUUCGAAAUUUAUUAAAUUAUUAAUUAAUUAAUAUUUUCAGAAAUUAUACCGAGAGAGCCAUUUGUUAGAAUUUCACAUUGAUCACAGUAGUAUGGUUAGUUUGUUCAAUUGAUUGUUAUGUUUGUGAAAUUGAGUGAUAAUUGUGAUAUAUAGGUACUUUAAUAAGAAAAUACCGGGUGUCGGGUAUGGACACUAAAAAUGGUUUUAAGUACCAUUUCAACUUAGGUGAGCAAUAUAGAUUUAUAAUAGUUUCGGGGAGUAUUAACACCAAUAUAGAUCUAUAGCAGCUUUAGUGAGCAAUAAUACAUUAGCAGCUUCGGUGAGCACUAUAAAUAUCAGCUUCGGCGAGUAUUACAGUUAUUUAGUAGCUUUGGUGAGUGAUAAUUGAUAUAGCAACUUCGGUGAGUAAUAUAGACAUCAGCUUUGGUGAGCAAUGAUAUAUGAAUAUAUAUAUAUAUAUAUAUAUAUAUAUAUAUAUAUAUAUUAGCUUCGGUGAGCUAGACCAUCAAAUUCAGCUUAGGUGAGCAGUGUUCGAAUCAAUAGAGUUUAUGGAUGGUAUCGAUGGUAUGAAGUCAAAUGAGUCGACUAAUUGAUGGUUGAAUUGGAUUGAAAUGAUUGGAUGAUUAUAUGAAUUGUACUGACUUGUAGGAAGACCCGAAGCAAAGGUAAGUCCUCUGACUUGUGCUUGUACUUAGGUAGCCCUUGGCUUGUAUUUGCUUCCUAAUCGGAGUUUAGGAGGUGAACUUGUUGAGAUAUUGUCUCACCCCGUCGUGGGCUCAACAUUUUCAGGUCCUUAGAUGGUGGUCAUGGAAGACGCAAAGCCCCGGAGUCUGGGGAGGUGGAGACUGAAGGAUCGGCCAACGUGUCUGACUAACUGGUCAUAGGACAGCUCCCUUUUUUUUGAGCCGGUCUUUUGUAGACGGCCUUGUAUUGUAUAUAAACUUGUGUGUUUAUAAAAAGGCUUGUUUUGAUUAUGAAUUGUUGCCUGCUUUUCUAUCCCAAGCUUUUUGUUGUCAGGGGAUAUUUGUUUGCUUCCGCAUGCGUAAUAAAAUGAAUGGGUCGGCGACGCAUCCUGAGACGUCGCAUAUUUAUCGACCACCGAAGGAUGGGCACGCACUUAAGGGUCGGGGCAUGACAUUACUCGCUUGAGUAGAAUCCCUCACUUCUCCUCUUUCGAUGGCGGUCUGCUCAUCCCUAUCCUCAUCCUCAUCAUCACUAUAAUACCUAACAUAUACCCUAACUUCGUCGCUGUGAUGAUAAUGGUAAAUGAUAUCCUUAAUACCAUUAUCGUCAUUAAAAAAUCUUAAGCCAUCCUUCAAUUCCUUCCUAGGAACACAAUAAUGUAUUUUUUGCACUUUGCAUUGUAAAAAAUACACCAAAUCUCUCAAAAAAUCAAUAUAUGAUAGCUUCCGAACAUUGACAUAUAUAAUACCUUCAUUUCCACCAGUAUAUUCCCAGUCCUCGGUGUCAAUAACAAACUCUUCACCAUAGCAAACAAUGACGGCUACCUGAUUCUCAUCCAUGUCAGUUCUGCAUCCAAGGAAGAAAAAAAAAUCAUUAGUUUUUAGGACCACAUGACAAAAUUAGUAACUUCACAUGCAGGUCCUUAUCGUUUUGUCGAAAGAAACAAAGGCAAUCGAUUUAUUCAAUUCGAUCCCUUUACAAUAACAAAGGAAGCCGAAUUGAAUAAACAAAGUGAGGUCUCCAUCACCCAUUUUUCAAUUCAAUCACAUUCGGUCCCCCAUAGAAGCAAUUCACCUAAUUAAAUAACGCAAGAUCCCACCACUAUUUCCCUCCGAGUUGAGCCCCCAUUUUCCCCUCCACACCCUAUUUUUCUAUUCAAUCCCCAUAAAAGAAAGCAAAUGACAAAACCCUAAAUUUUUCUAUUCGGUCCCUACAAAAGUGAGAUCCCCACCACUUUCUCCUUGAGUCGAGUCCUCAAUUUGCUCUCCAUGCUCUAACUUGCCUAUCGAAACCCUAAAAUUUUCACUCAAUUGACCCAUGUAAAGAACAUGACAAACCUGAGUGAGUGAGAGCUAGGGACACAGCUAGCGAACAACAAUGAACGAUAGCGUAACUACGGCGGUGGCCGAGUGACAGCGAGUGAGCAACGGGCCACCGCCAGUGAGUGAGCAACGGUGGGCGAGCGAACGACGGUGGGUGAGCAAGCUACAGCCAACGUCAAGCGGGAAUUGUAGUUCGUAUGCCGCCUAUACGAACCAUAUUUUACUCCCUCUUCAGCGAUGCCGUUUUGGCUAUAUAGCAAUGUGGCGUCGUUUUGUAAGUGAGUCCAUGUGGAAUGGCAUAAAACGACGUCAUUUCUUAUGAAGAAUGGAAAACAGAGGCGUUUAUGCCAUUCCACGUGGCCAGUCUUCUUCAUUUUUUGCCACGUCGAUUUUUUUUUUAAUAUAAAAGCUACAUAAUCAUUUUGGCUGGAAUCUAUCGCUGAUGGUACCAAAGUGAUCGUUUUUCCUCUGAUUUGACACUUAAGUGAUCCGUCGGAAACUUUUGGCACCAAAAUUAGCGUCGUACACAACUUUUGCACUUCUGGUGUAGUUACCCUGAUUGUUUUUCGCACAUAACUAUCGCCAUACACUUCUUCAUUCCUUUACUUCCAUGCUUUGCUAUGAUCUAGUCUAUUAUUUAAACCAAAGUGGUUCACUUGGGUCAAGAAAUUUGCCGUAAAAAAAAAUAGUUCGAAUCUGUUGAUACCAAAAGUUGAUUUGGUUAUUGAUACGUUUGUGCUUAGCACAAGAAUGAGAAAUAUGUGGCAUGAGCAGGGAUAAGUAGCAGUCACGUGCAUAAUGCAUGAGCGUUACCUUAUACAAUCAUCAACGAAUAUAGGAGCUAAGACAUGGCGAUCAAUGACUAUAAUCUUUAAUACCAUGUGUCCAGUUAUUGAAAUAUGAUAACGAACUAUUGGUGGUCGACUAUAUGAGCACUAGCAGCAAGUUUUCAUUGGAAGUAUUUCAAAUACUAUUCAAAUCACCAAGACCGUGGGCAUCGAGAAUGCACAUUGUGGAGGGAGCAAUUGCAAUUCAUAGACCCCAUCAUGGAACGAUCAUCAAUAACUACAAACCCAUCAACACACAAUGAGGACUAUUAUACAAAAGGUGGGCAAGUGAAGCUUGCGGGAAUGAAGGAGUAUGGGCGAGAGCAAUGGAAGUUACUUGGAGAAACACAAUCGCUAAUCAUAGUCAAGGAGCAAUUACUACACAUUUGCUAUAAAUACCACCAGCUAUCCAACAAGAAACCCUCUGCACGAAUCACACAAAAUGUUAUCUUCCAAUUAUCUAUACUUUCCUACACUGUAGUUUAAAUUUCCUUAGCUAUAGCUUAAUAUUCGCAUCGUCAAUUAGAUUCCGGUAUUUUUAUUUCGAUACUCAUUGUUGAUUGAAUUCUAGCAUUGUAUUGCAAUAUCCUCGAUUUAUGUCGUCAAUUGGAUUCUGGCAUAAUUCGAGAUUGAUCUUGUAACUUUUGUGCCUUGUCAUUGAUUAAAUUCCGACUCUAUAUGGGAUUGUAUAAUGUUGUUUGGAUUAAAAAAGUUCGAUUCCUCUUUGUAUAAGAUAUCUUGUGACCAGAGUUGGCUCAAAACCCUUGUCCCCUUUAAUAAAAAUCAAAGAAUGAUUUUCAAUGAAAAAUAGUUCAUCACAUUGUUCUAUUUUAUCAUUUUCGUGUAGGCUCAUGCGAAUCAAGUUUGAUUCAGGUGUCACCAUGAAAAAUGCUUGUCAUGACACAUUCUACACAUAUGAUUUUUCUUGAGAUUUUUACAUAUCAUUAGAUCAUAAAAAAUUAAUCACGUUCUGUGAUAAUCAUGUUGAAUUAGGGACUUAUCACAAGCCCAUUAAAACUCAUUUGUUUGGGCACCUUAAGGGCCAAAACAUGCCUCAUUGUCUUCUCGAUAUUUGAAGCAUGUGUUACAAGUUUUGUAUCAACUUGUGGCAUGUCAUGUUUGAAUCUCGUUUGAUAUGUGAAAACCAUGUAUCGAUUUAGCAAAUUGUAAUUGAAGUUUGCCAUGCAUAUCAUCCUUAGUUCAAAGUCACUUUGCAAUGUUAAUGACUUGUGUGACUUAUUUGCACUCCGACUUAGGGGUAAAUUUUCUACCCAAACCUUUCUCUCAUUCAACCUUAUGUCAUGUGUGAGUUUCACACUUUUUAUGCAUUGUGUAGGUGAUCUUAUAGACUAUUAAGCAUGCAUCAUGUUCUGAUUUGUGCAUGGCUGAUUUGCAUGUCUUCAUGAAUUUCUUUUUUUCGACUAUCAAUUUGACCUCAAUUGGACUCGAACCCUCUUAGGAAUUCUGAGGACUCGCCUUGAUAUUUUGAAUGCCGCUGAUUUUGUGUGAUUUGCCUAUCAUUUGGCCCAUUUUUCGUUUUUGUCAAGUUAGGCUAAAAAUCUGACUUAGGUGAAAUUCGGAACCUCUGUUUUACCCUUGUUGAGUCUGACUCUUUGUUAUUUUGUGUGAUUUUCUCGUUUAAGAUUUUUAGGUCAGACCCUUAACGAACUUUGUUCGUCACUCUUUUGUUUAUGUUGUAGUAAAGUUUCAUGUUUGUUAGACCUCGUUUAAUAGAUUGAAUAUCCAUUGAUAUGGCGUGAUGCUCUGUUGUCUUAUUGAUUUUCUGAUGUUAUGUGUUGUUGAAUUUUUAAAAAUUCUUACAUAACCUUUUAGAAAACUUUCUUCACAGAGUUUGUUCCCCGUGAUGUUAUGGAUAUCGUGUAAUUUUCUUAGAACAAAUUGUAAACGGGUUCCUUUUCAAUUGUGUUGAUUUUAUUUACCCUGUUAUGUGGUGUUUUGUUACAAUUCUUUGCUGUGUUUUCAUUCUAGAAUUUUCUAGGUUAACUUGCAUGUUGAGUUUGCUUCACAUUUAUUCACGAACUUUGUUCUUCACUUUUUGCACUUUAUACACAAAAACUCUCGACAAAUAAAAAGCACUUUAGUAUGUUUUUUCGACCUUUUUGAAUGUCAUGAACUUGUCUAAAUUUUCCUAUUUUUGUCAAUUUGAACCUAAUUUUAGUUGAAGUGAUAUUCAUGCACACUUUUUAUGUCAUCUUUGAAUUUCAAACUUUCAAACCAUGCUCUUGGUUUGGUAUUGAUGUUACCUAAAGUUUGGGACAUAUUUAAGGCAUCUGCGAAGUUGAUUAGAGUACACAGGAUGCACCCGAGUUAACCUUGACAAUUAAAUGUGUUCCAUAACUGUGAUACAUCUUUGCUAUACCGUUAGCAUACUUUCUCCCAAUUCACUAUCAAUUGUUCUUCAAAUAUUUUUUUAGCAUCGUUUGAACUCUUAUGACGUUGGACUUGUUUACCUUUCUUGAAUGCCCGUGAUUGUGAUUAGCGUGUGUCAACUAAAUAAGUGAUCAAGUGUUGGCUCACUAAAAUUGUCUGAUUGACUGAGGACCCAGGCUCAAGGUUUUGCUGCCAUGUUUAUUUCUCCCUAUGCAUGUGUUCUUUUAGAUGUAUGCAUAGGUACAAUGUAUGAUUCCAUUGGAUGACCUAGGGAUUCACUUAGAACAUGUUUUAGGGGUUUAUAAGCAUUGGUUGCCAUACGAGAACAAAAAUGGUGGCCAAUAGUUAUAAGCUAUUAAAAUGAAUUGGGAUAGGUGUCCAAAGGUAUCGACACAUGAAUUGCAAAGGCCAACCCCAAGGCCCAAUUUGUUCAUUUUGCACGUGGUUUCGAUUGUUUGAUUCUUCUUGAUUGUCUUAUGAAUGUUUUUGUCAUGAAUGAUUGUUUCUUUCCUAUUGUAUAUACCUAGUCAUAGUUUUAGGUUAGGAUUAGAAUAGGUCCUUGGAGAUGGAGAUACUUCAAGACUUGAAGACGAUGGAAGGUCGAUGUCCUAUCCAACCGAACUUUUUAUAUCAUUUGUCCCCGAUAUAUGUUUCGGGUUAUCUCGUGUUGUAUAAAUACCCGACGAAUUGCAAGUUUAUUUCUUCCAUUUAUUUUUGUUCAUUGCUUAGGUUGUAUGCUAGAUUUACUGCAUUCCCUAAAUUGCUUACUUGAUUGUUUACUUACUGCAUUAUCUUUAAAUUUCAAUUGUUUGCCUUCUUUUCUCUUUCAUAGAAAUAGAAUCGCAUAAAAGCAAUCAUCCACGCAUGAUCAUUUAGCUAGUGUAAUCAACCUGAAAAAGUAAAAAGAAAUGCAUAAACGCCUUAGGAAACAUGACAUACAAUUAAGUACCAAAAUUGUGCUAAUAGAAAUAUUAACAUAAGUCAAGUCUCUGAAUCUAUAAUCUCUAGUUGCAUAGAAAUCGAGGAACCAUUCCUAACCCUCGAUUAAGUUUUCUAGCCGACCCUAAAAAAGAAGACUAGUAGCGAAUCUUGUCUUUUUAGGUUGUUUUAAAUAACUAGAUAAUAAAUUAACUUGUUGUAAGAGGUAUAGGUCUUGCUAAGACCCACCAGAGUUUAGCAUACCCACCGUGGAAACCUCCUAAUGGAUGAAAUGAUGUCAUCCUUAAGAAAGAGAGUACUAUUGGGAGGAUUACUAUGGUAAAGGUACCUCUAAAUUCAAUAUCCACAUCCGAUCUCCUCUUUCAAGGUAUGUCGCCCGUGUGGGUACGAAUCAUGACACCUUAUGCUAUCACGCAAGAUAUGAGCUUGGGAGAGCUCACAACAAUGAACGAGGGAACUCAUAAGGGCUCGUCUCAAAAGACAAAGUGAUGACAUAUUUUGGAUUGCGAACUGUAAGAUAACUGUCAUGAACAAGUACUCCUAAACUUGACAUUUUCCCCUCCCCAUCAAGGGAGGGUCAAGAGAGGUUGGGUCGCAACACAGCCGUUCUUCUCUUCAUCUAAAGGACGUAACCUCAAACUAUAUCCAAAGAAAUCCAACUCCCAAAAGUCUCCAUCGAUAGCACUCCCUUACUAAGGGUUACUAAUCGAGGAACUUAAAAGGAUUAGGAAGAAAAGAGGUAAGCUACCACAGCUUAGUAAAUAGUACAUAGUUUCUAAGCAAAUUGAGCAACUACUGUGCAUGUAUACAAAGUGAUAUCGGAAACAUGUGAUCCAAAAUCAAGGUAUAAAAUACGUAUUAAAUCACAUGUGUAAUUUCAUUUUGACAAAUCUUUAAAUAAACCAAAAAUACUCAUUUAAAUCCACCAUCACAAUACAAAUAUCAAUUAUCAAGUUCAUUGAUCAAUCUCAAAUCACAUGUCGAUGGUUCAUUUCAUUAACCAAACUCAUAUCACAUCAAAUCUCGAGGCCUUAGAGGUGGCUUCCACAAGACCACGUUAUCAUGUAACAUUUAGCCCUUGAGUACUCAAGGCCUUAGAGGUGGCUCCCACGAGAUUCGCAUCAUUAUAUAGCACUUAUCCAUUGACCAACACUCAUCAAUAGUAAAAGGCUCUAGAGGUGGCUUCAUGAAAUUACGUUAUCAUGUAGCACUUAGUUCUUAACCAAGGUAUAUCGAUAGUAUAAGGCCUUAGAGGUUGUUCCCACAUAACUCAAGUCGCCAUGUAGUACUUAACUCUUGACUACAAGACCCUAGAGGUGGCUCACACAAAGUUAUGUUACUACGUAGCACUUAAAACCUUGACCAAUGUAUAUCAAUAGUACAAGACCCUAGAGGCCACUCCCAUGUGACUUGAGUCGCUCUUGACUAUAAGGCCCUAAAGGUGACUCCUACGAACCAACAUUAUCGUGUAGUACUUAAUUCUUUACCAGUUCAUAUCAAAUUGAUUACACAAACCAAAACAUAGUCUUUCACAAAUCAAUUAUUCCAUUAACCAAUCCAGAAUCCAUAUCAUAAAUCAGUUUCACAUAUCCAAUGAAGUCACCUUUCAUAAACCAUACUCAAAGUCGACGUAAUUAUUUCACAAACCCAAAAUAUAUCAUCUUUCCUAACUUUGUUGAUCAAACAAUAUAUAUAUUUCACAAAAUAUUUCUCACACCAUUUCGAAAUUCAUUUCAUAAAUUGAUAACAUUUUGAAAUGUCUUUCAUUAAACGAUUCCCAAAUCAUUUUAGAACCCAUUCUAUAAAUCAAUUAGUAACAUAAUAGAACCCAUUCUAUAAAUCAAUUAGUAACAUAAUACAAUAAAUAAACUUUCACAACACCUUCCAUAACAACUUUUUCAAACCAUUUUCAAAGAAUUGAAGAGCAAUAAAUGCCCAAUCCAUAUUUUAAUGCAGUGAAAAUGUUAUUUCUUAACUCAUAGAAUAUCAUUUUUGAACGUGAGGUCAAAUACUUAAAGAAAGGAUAACACUACUCACAUUGAACUGCCUAUGAUCAAACAACGAAGAUUACUUGAACCGUUAAACUCACAAUCUCAUCAAAUAAGCGAGAAACAACAUUAAAAUCAAAGAAAAUGCUAUCUUAACUAUAACUUGAAUAAACUAACGACUCAAAUGUACUCACAGAUCGCUCGUGCAAACCAAUUAAGCCAUUGGUCAUGCACUGUUCAUACGAGGCCAAUUUCAAAAUUUUGUUUUGAGUGAACUGUAAGUCUAAAUUGAUUUUUGUAAAAUCCUACAACUUUACAACAUCUUAAAUUAUCAUUUAUAUAUAUGCAGCUCAACGACUCCUUAGUCAAAACUCGAAACUCAAAAUUGACUUAACCUUAGAUAUGCACCAUAAUUUCGAAUAUUACUUUGAUUAGAUGAGCAAGGGCAUGAUCACUUACCAAGCGUUAUGAUAUGUAAUAAAAUUGACUAAGCGAGACACCCGUGGUAAGCACACGGAAAGCCCUCUCUUUUUUCCCAUCUCUUUCUUCUUUGUUUCUUUCCCUUUUCCUUUCUUUUCUCGGUCUUCUCCGUGUCUUACCCGAGGUCUGCCUUCUCUAUUUCUUUGACCAAGUCAAUUUUCUAUUUUUUUUUAUUGGGUCCACACGAGUUGACCAAGUUUUCCUUUCUUUUCUCGGUCUUCUCCGUGUCUUACCCGAGCUCCCCCUUCCCUCUUUAUAGACCAAGUCAACUCCCUUUUCUUUUUCUUUUUUUCUAACGGGGUCCCCACUUCACCACCGAUCUUUUUCCAUUUGUUUUUUUUCUUCCCCUUUUUCUAGUUCCCAAUUCCAAACUUUUGAAAUUAGUGAAAUCAGUCUGAUUCUCAAUUUUGAGUGAAGAACUGAUUGGGAAUCAAAUUGAACCAAAUUUGGAACCGGUUUCAUAGAGCCUAAAAAUUGAAUUUUUCUCUUAUUAUAUUUUUUUUAUAUUUCUCUCUUUUUUCUAUUUCCUCCAACCUCACCCAAACACUUCACGACUCUCUCUCUCUCGCCUACAACUCACACUCCUCCUCGCAACCCUCACUUGUUCCUAACUAGCAUUUGCUCACUCACCCUCAUUCAUAUUAUAUUUUGAAUCAUUUUCUUAUUCAUAUUAUUUUGGCUAUAAAAAAUGAAACUCAAUGAACAAAAAAAAAAGGUUCUUGGUAGACCUUGGAAUCAGACUAAAAAAUAGGACACGUUCUAGGGUCAAUUCUAGGACAAAUAGGGUAGGUUACAGGUUUCAAAAACUGAUAAUUAGUUCUACCAUAGCACGUUCUAAAUUCCAAGUUCUAGGUUUAGAAUAUAAUCACCCCUAAAAUUCGUUAUUGAUUGUACAUCAAAAUAUAAUAUAGUGUUAUAUAAUAAUUAUGGGCAAGAAAUGAGAAUUCGUUAAUAAAGUAAGUGCUAAAAUUACAUCAUCAGAUGCCUUUAUCAAAUAUCGCUUUGGUGCCGGGGGAUGUCAAUUGCAAUUUCGGGGAGGACAAAGUGUCCGCCAUCGAAUAGAGACGUCCAACUAGUAGCCAAUGACCAUUGUCGAAAAGCAGAAAUUUUAGCACUUUGAAAAAGACAACCACUGAAUAGAUAGUAUGUAUCACAAGACCACCAAUUUUCUCAAUGAUGUGAUAUCUCUAUGACUAAUCAAACAAUCCAAAUUGGAUUAGUCAAAUACGAAUAAUGUAACAAAAGGAGAUUCAUUUCAUGGGUCGGUGAUGUGCAAUUAAUGGAAUCACAAACUUUGAUGUAAACCUCAUGAAAUGAUUUACUAAAUUUGUAAAUUAGAUAAGACGUGAAACAAAAUGAUUAUAAUUAGCUCAAAUAUGGAAGAUUGGUUGCACAGUUUGUGAUGGCACAAUGAAAUCAAAAUUAAUUUGUGCACUUUAUUCACCCGCUAGCACACAUAUAAAUCAAACCUAGUUACUAAUCUACUCCCAUAGGUUAAGUGAGAGCACCUCAUCUCCAAUUCCACAACAUUUCAGAAGUUGGCUACGACAACGCUGCUCCAAUUUUCAUUGGAUAAUGACAAUGAAAAUUCUUACACUCGUGUCAGUCCGUCACAUUUACUUUUCAAAUUCUUUUUCUCGAUUUUUUAAAUAUUAAAAUCCGUCGUCAUCCUUCAAGUUAGUCAUUUCAUUAACUUCCCAACUUUUAGUUGAUGGAAAAGUCUAGGCUGGCAUUUUUUAUUAUUUAUUUCCUCUACAAGGGCAACAUUUUGUGUUCAUCCAUUUAUGUUUUAUAAAAUAUUUAUUAAAGAAAAUUGAAUUUUCUUUUUUGAGCUCGUAAGAUUUAAUGGAAAGGGGAACGGCAAUGUGCUGUGCCCUCUAUAGCCAACCUCCCUUGUUGGGGUUGAGGUAAGGGUGGUUGGCCCUCACUUGGCCAUAAGUGCAGGGUACGAUUCUCGCCACCACUAGGCAAGGGCUGCUGCGACCAUGAAGCAAGGGCCCUUGCCUGUGAAUCAAGAUAAACAUCAAGUGGUGCCUUUAUCAAAUAUGGUUCAUAUUAUUGUAACUCAAUGAACCAAAAAAAUGAAACUCAAUGAAACUAAAAAAAAAAAAAAGGUUCUUGGUAGACCUUGCAAUCAGACUAAAAGAUAUGACACGUUCUAAGGUUAGUUCUAGGACAAAUAGGGUAGGUUACAAGUUUCAAAAACUGAUAAUUAGUUUUACCAUAGCACGUUCUAAAUUUCAUGUUGUAGGUUUAGAAUAGGAUCACCCCUAAAAUUCGUUAUUGAUUGUACAUCAGAAUAUAAUAUAGUGCAAUACAAUAAUUAUGGGCAAGAAAUGAGAGUUCGUUCAUAAAGUAAGUGCUAAAAUUACAACAUCAGAUGCCUAAAAGAUUUAUUUACGAUUGAGAUUAGAUAGAUGCUCUUGAGGGUGUCCUUCAGAGAAAUGCAUAAGGACGGUGAUUUGAACCUAGGAGCAUGUACGGAUCGCUUGGUGAUUUGUUUUAUAUGCCAGUUCACUUUAUAAGUAAAGCCAACGACUUCUGGAAAAAAAUAUCUCAGUACAGGCCAAGCCUCAACCUGUUCCUUGAACACCAUGAGAAACUCGUCAUUUCUCCUUGCGCUUGUUCUCUCAAUCCUUCACUUGUCUUCUCAACCUUCCUCUGCCACUCGCACUACUUUGAGCAGAGGCGACUCUCUCUCCGUUGAUAACCCGGAUGACAUCCUCAUCUCAAAGUCUGGUGUCUUCUCCGCCGGUUUUUACCCCGUCGGCAAGAACGCUUACUGCUUUGCCAUCUGGUUCAGCGAUCCACCAUGCAGCGGCCAGAAUUGCACCGUAGUUUGGAUGGCAAACCGCAAUGAACCUGUCAACGGGAGGUACUCUAAGCUUUCUAUUAAAAAGAACGGUGAUCUCAUGCUAACUGAUGCCAGACACGCUGUUGUUUGGGCCAUAGAUACAGCCUCGCUCUCGUGGUCGAAAACACCGGUUCAUCAGUUACAACUCCUAGACUCUGGUAAUCUUGUUCUUCGUGACAGAGAAGGUAAUGUCCCACUCUGGCAAAGCUUCAACUGCCCGACCAACGUGCUCCUCCCUGGACAGAACCUCACCAGGAACACACCACUUGUUUCCUCUCAGAGCAACGGCAACUUCUCCUCUGGCUAUUACAAGUUAUACUUCGACAACGACAACAUCCUUCGUCUCCUCUUCGAUGGACCUUUGAUCUCAAGCGUAUACUGGCCAGCCCCGACCCAUGUGAGUUGGGAAGUUGGAAGAACAACCUACAACGAUAGUAGAGUUGCAGUGCUCGAUUCCCUGGGGAAUUUCACUUCAUCUGACAAUCUGAAGUUCCUGACGUUGGAUUUUGGCAAGAAAACACAACGUAUGUUAAAGGUGGAUCAUGAUGGUAAUGUAAGGGUCUAUAGUAGAGAAAAAGAUGGGAAGUGGGUUGUAACAUGGCAAGGCUUACCUGAGUCAUGUACUGUUCAUGGGAUUUGUGGACCGAAUAGCGUUUGCAGGUACAGCCCGAGGGAGGGAAGGAGUUGUUCUUGCCUUCCCGGAUAUGUGUGGAAUAAUGACACUGAUUGGACUCAGGGAUGUGCG